UUCUUUUUCUUCUCUUCCUUUCCUGCUCUUACUUUUCUUACUCUUCUUGCUCUUCUCUUACUCUUCCUUUACUCUUUCUCUUACUCUUCUCUUCUCUUAGGGGUUGCACUUAGAGAUGAGAGAUCACUCUCACUAUACCUGGGGUUAUAAAACCCGAGACCAUAGCAUCUCCUAGCAACUCUCUAGGCAGAAUGAGUGACGAACAGAUGUUCGUCUGGGAAGGCUUCCUCAACUGGACAAGGCGUAGAACUGGAUGAAAGCCGACUAAGGUGAUCAGCCACAAGAUUUUCUUUGCCUUUUUUGUCUCUUAUCUCUAAAUC
This 320-nucleotide long non-coding RNA is filed under the name Manihot esculenta (cassava). RNAcentral describes it as "long non-coding RNA (MESC_LNC000628)". Lineage: Eukaryota; Viridiplantae; Streptophyta; Magnoliopsida; Malpighiales; Euphorbiaceae. The record is from RNAcentral.